RNAcentral lists this ribosomal RNA (429 nucleotides) under bacterium. RNAcentral describes it as "partial 16S ribosomal RNA". It matches the Rfam family "Bacterial small subunit ribosomal RNA", at positions 355 to 776 of the family's 1533-position model. The record is from RNAcentral.
UAGGGAAUCUUCCACAAUGGACGCAAGUCUGAUGGAGCAACGCCGCGUGAGUGAAGAAGGUUUUCGGAUCGUAAAGCUCUGUUGUUGGUGAAGAAGGAUAGAGGCAGUAACUGGUCUUUAUUUGACGGUAAUCAACCAGAAAGUCACGGCUAACUACGUGCCAGCAGCCGCGGUAAUACGUAGGUGGCAAGCGUUGUCCGGAUUUAUUGGGCGUAAAGCGAGCGCAGGCGGAAUGAUAAGUCUGAUGUGAAAGCCCACGGCUCAACCGUGGAACUGCAUCGGAAACUGUCAGUCUUGAGUGCAGAAGAUGAGAGUGGAAUUCCAUGUGUAGCGGUGGAAUGCGUAGAUAUAUGGAAGAACACCAGUGGCGAAGGCGGCUCUCUGGUCUGCAACUGACGCUGAGGCUCGAAAGCAUGGGUAGCGAACAGG